UACGUAGGUGGCAAGCGUUGUCCGGAUUUACUGGGCGUAAAGAGCGCGCAGGCGGUCGAAUAAGUCGAAUGUGAAAGCCCCCGGCUCAACUGGGGAGGGUCACGCGAUACUGAUCGACUCGAAGGCAGGAGAGGGUAGUGGAAUUCCCGGUGUAGUGGUGAAGUGCGUAGAUAUCGGGAGGAACACCAGUGGCGAAGGCGACUACCUGGCCUGUUCUUGACGCUGAGGCGCGAAAGCUAGGGGAGCAAACGGG
RNAcentral lists this ribosomal RNA (253 nucleotides) under uncultured bacterium. Its description in RNAcentral is "partial 16S ribosomal RNA". It matches the Rfam family "Bacterial small subunit ribosomal RNA", at positions 524 to 776 of the family's 1533-position model. The record is from RNAcentral.